This is a non-coding RNA of Lolium perenne, 1364 nucleotides long. Lineage: Eukaryota; Viridiplantae; Streptophyta; Magnoliopsida; Poales; Poaceae. The record is from RefSeq and is a predicted model, not a curated record.
UCUCUCACAGUUACAUAUCACGCAUUCACACAUGAGCAGAUUAUUUCAUAUUCAACUUUGUUAUGGUUUCCUUCUUUCUGAUCAUAGGUAAGAGUUUUGGCAUCAUUAACAACGGAAAAUGUGAUAGCAUGCUCCAUCCUCCCAGACUCACACAGACAGUCACCACAUGGCGGUGCAGACUGCAGAUAAAGGACCUAAAUAGGGCCACAGAUGCACAAUCAUAUAAAUGGCAAUAAUGAGUAUAAUAAAGGGCAAAUUGGAAGGCAUAUUUAAUCUCAAUUAUGCGCUUACUUUAUCCUUUGAGGCUAUUGGUCUAGGUGAUGAUUAAUAGUAAUAGGUGAUGAUAGGUAAUGAACACAUCUACAUAAAAAUAUGCUUUGCUCCUAGUGAACUUUAGGGUCCGUUAGCCUCAGCAAGCCUUGUCAAUCUUGGUGUGACCAACAUUUUGGCGAACAAAUUGGCCAUCCUCAGUUAGCCCGUGAAUUGGCAAAAAAUGCACUGUCCCCUGCCAACUUUUUGGUGUCCAAUGAAAUCAUAGGCAAAGAGUCACAGGUGUGCCAAUUUUGCCAAGGCCAGCUUUGGCUCGGAACCAAACAAAUCUUUAGUUCAUUAACUCCUUGAAAUUUUGGAUACUUGGUCCCUGGAUAACUUUGUACGCCAUCUUUUGAUGUAUUUUUACUGCUGGCGUGCCCCGCCCAAUCUCCUGCAAGGACGUGAAUUCCCAAGUUUCUGAAGUGCACCAGACAAAUGUCUCCUUGCCAUCUGGUGGUCUUGAGCGUGAAAAGUAGUAUCCAGAUAGGCAGUGGCGGACGCAAAAAAAUACCCUAGGGCGCCCACCCUUCUGCGUACGCCCCUGCAGAUAGGUCUCCUGCCAUGGUUGAGGAUGACCUGCAGGAUGCUGGGCAGCGGCGCCGCUUCCCUGACCGAUUGGAUUGCAGAGGCGAAACCGGCACUGCCCCAAGGGUUUGGCAACAGCAACAUUUCUAAUACCCUGGAUGCUCUGGAAACACAGAAACGACUGCGUCUUCAACAGAGCUCGACCGUCCACGCAGGAUUUGCUAGCCAAGAUCAAAGAGGAAGCUACCAUUUGGGCUAGGGCCGGGGCGCUAGGCCUAUGGGCCAUGCUGCCAACCUGCUGGGAUGUGCACUAGGAUCUUUUUCCUUUUCAUGUACCUCUGUCUCUUAGGAGACUUGUAACCAAAACUCUUAUCUUUUCAAUGAUAUGAAGCGCAAAGGUCCUUUGCGUUUUCUCGAAAAAAUAUCAUCUAAAUUGAACAUCUUCAUGUUAAUUGAUUACUGCUGUAAUUGUUAUUUGUCUCAGCCAAAGAGUCAUCUUUUCAGCAGAAUAAAGAUAAAUAGAAUGU